GAAUACGUUCCCGGGUCUUGUACACACCGCCCGUCACACCAUGGGAGUGGGUUUUACCAGAAGUGGCUAGUCUAACCGCAAGGAGGACGGUCACCACGGUAGGAUUCAUGACUGGGGUGAAGUCGUAUCAAGGUAGCCGUAUCGGAAGGUGCGGCUGGAUCACCUCCUUUCCAG
This 174-nucleotide ribosomal RNA is filed under the name Burkholderia multivorans. Its description in RNAcentral is "partial 16S ribosomal RNA". It matches the Rfam family "Bacterial small subunit ribosomal RNA", at positions 1364 to 1533 of the family's 1533-position model. The record is from RNAcentral. Lineage: Bacteria; Pseudomonadati; Pseudomonadota; Betaproteobacteria; Burkholderiales; Burkholderiaceae.